UACGGAGGGCGCAAGCGUUGUCCGGAUUUCUUGGGUUUAAAGGGUGCGUAGGCGGGCGAUUAAGUCAGUGGUGAAAGGCUCCGGCUCAACCGGAGACGCGCCAUUGAUACUGGUUGUCUUGAGUACAGAUGAGGUGGGCGGAUUUUACGAUGUAGCGGUGAAAUGCAUAGAUAUCGUAAAGAACACCGAUAGCGAAGGCAGCUCACUAGACUGCUACUGACGCUGAUGCACGAAAGCAUGGGUAGCGAACAGG
Molecule: unclassified non-coding RNA, 253 nt
Filed under: uncultured Cyclobacteriaceae bacterium
Lineage: Bacteria; Pseudomonadati; Bacteroidota; Cytophagia; Cytophagales; Cyclobacteriaceae
Description: contains 16S-23S intergenic spacer region
Rfam family: Bacterial small subunit ribosomal RNA
Source: RNAcentral